Molecule: regulatory RNA element, 95 nt
Rfam family: TPP riboswitch aptamer (THI element)
About the family: Vitamin B(1) in its active form thiamin pyrophosphate (TPP) is an essential coenzyme that is synthesised by coupling of pyrimidine and thiazole moieties in bacteria. The previously detected thiamin-regulatory element, thi box was extended, resulting in a new, highly conserved RNA secondary structure, the THI element, which is widely distributed in eubacteria and also occurs in some archaea. Analysis of operon structures identified a large number of new candidate thiamin-regulated genes, mostly transporters, in various prokaryotic organisms.
Source: Rfam
AAUUAAUGUUUGGGGUGCCGGAAUUCGGCUGAGAUUCAUACCCAUAGUACCUGAUUCAGGAUAAUCCCUGCGAAGGAAAACAACCCUUUUAUUUU